GACGAACGCUGGCGGCGUGCUUAACACAUGCAAGUCGAACGAUGAAGGAGAGCUUGCUCUCCGGAUUAGUGGCGAACGGGUGAGUAACACGUGACUAACCUGCCUCUUUCUCUGGGAUAGCGCUCCGAAAGGAGUGCUAAUACCGGAUACGAACUCUGAACACAUGUUCGGAGUUGGAAAGUUUUUCGGAAAGGGAUGGAGUCGCGGCCUAUCAGCUUGUUGGUGAGGUGACGGCUCACCAAGGCGACGACGGGUAGCUGGCCUGAGAGGGCGACCGGCCACACUGGGACUGAGACACGGCCCAGACUCCUACGGGAGGCAGCAGUGGGGAAUAUUGCACAAUGGGCGAAAGCCUGAUGCAGCGACGCCGCGUGAGGGAUGAAGGUCUUCGGAUUGUAAACCUCUUUCAGUAGGGACGAAGCGAAAGUGACGGUACCUAAAGAAGAAGCACCGGCUAACUACGUGCCAGCAGCCGCCGUAA
RNAcentral lists this ribosomal RNA (481 nucleotides) under uncultured bacterium. RNAcentral describes it as "partial 16S ribosomal RNA". It matches the Rfam family "Bacterial small subunit ribosomal RNA", at positions 28 to 523 of the family's 1533-position model. The record is from RNAcentral.